This is a long non-coding RNA of Oncorhynchus tshawytscha (Chinook salmon), 1647 nucleotides long. Lineage: Eukaryota; Metazoa; Chordata; Actinopteri; Salmoniformes; Salmonidae. The record is from Ensembl.
AUGAAUUUUGUCUUGCUGCUUUUUGUUCUAUGUUGCUCUGUCUGUAUGCUACGUCUUGCUUGUCCUAUGUUGCUCUGUCUGUAUGCCAUGUCUUGCUUGUCCUAUGUUGCUAUGUCUUGCUUGUUCUAUGUUGCUAUUGUCUAUAUUGUAAUUGUUUUUAAUAACCUGCCCAGGGACUGCGGUUGAAAAUUAGCCGGCUGGCUAAAACCGGCACUUUUACUGAAACGUUGAUUAAUGUGCACUGUCCCUGUAAAAAUAAAAAUAAACUCAAACUCAAAUGGAUGGGGAUAUACAAUAUUAACAAAGUGUGUCUUCAUUUGUCCUUGUGUUACAGCCAUUGGUUGGACUGUCUGUAUUGCUUAAGACUUACCCAGACGUAGAUGGUUGUCCAAAGUCAAAGGUGCUUCCUCACUAACAAUGUUAGUUGUUGAUGAUUUGUCAUUGUCUUAUAAAUCCAACUCUGUGUUUAGACCAUGGAUCUAGAUUCAUUCUAUUUUGAAUCCAUUCUAUUUAAUUAUGUUUGUUUAGAUCAAGAGCUGAGCCUCAGGAUAUGUUUGUUUUCUUUGCGUUUGUAGCAGCCAACUCCUGCAAUGAAAUGAACAUGACCAAGUCAAACAUUAUUUUGUCUGAGUAAUGCUAUGCUAACAACUGCUUAUUACACACAGAAUGGAAUAGUGUUGUACAUACUGGGAGAACAGAAGAAUAAGAGAUGAUUCAUAAGCACUGUUUUAGACCCGCAAGAACCUGCAUCCACUCUGACACUAGCUCCCAGGAGGUCUGAUUGGCCUCAUUUCCAGCCACUCAAUUCACACGCUUCCAGGGGCAGCCCAAAGUCUGGGUAACUCUUUCUCUGUGAACCUAUUAAAUGGAGAGCAACAAGUGUAAGUUCAUCAUGCACAACAAGGCAGGAUAGGCUAUGAUGACUGACCAUACCGUACAACAUUUUGAUAAGAGAAAUUUACUUUGAUUUCUGGAAGUAUGUCAUUGUAAAAUGUAUACGAAUUAAGCCUGAAAAUGUACAAGAUACAAGAGAUUACAUAGACUUCUCUGUCAAAUAAAAUGUAUUUAAAUGUGUUUAGUGUUAAUAAUGAUGCUAAUACUGACCAAUGUUCCUUACUUAAAGUCAUGGUCUGGGUCCUCCAGUCUCCUCAUGGGCCCCAAUAGUACUCCCCCUUCCACCACCGAGCUGGAGUAGACCUGACCAACCAAUUCUCCAUUGGACAAGCUCACUCUCACACAGACAGCCUGAUAGGCACUGCCACCCUCACUGGACCUACAAGAUGCAACAAGAACCCAAGAUAAUGAAGGCUUAUUAUGACCCUUCAAGUGGAUGGCAUGGUGAAAUAUGAGGUGAAUACAAUAUAAAGGUAAAGAGCCUGGAGACAGUGGACACUAAGUGGACUUAAUCCUUCCUCAGAUAUAACCUCGGGGAGCUUUAUGCUCUAUUCUAAUGCAUUAAUAUCCUUAUUUAAAUUAGCAGUUUUCUGAAGGCUUUGCAAUGACUGUAUUGUUGAAACAUGUUUUUCUGCAGUUUUCCAGAAUCCAGAGUUUCAAUACUGGCCAAAACAUGAUAUAUUAUUGUUAAAGCUUUUCCUAGCAUUGCUGUGUUGUGCUCAAUGUCAACAAUCUCAAAAUAACCCAUGACUG